This 542-nucleotide long non-coding RNA is filed under the name Homo sapiens (human). Its description in RNAcentral is "non-protein coding lnc-FOXA2-7:9". Lineage: Eukaryota; Metazoa; Chordata; Mammalia; Primates; Hominidae. The record is from RNAcentral.
AUGUCAGGGCAAAGUCUUCUAGAACCCAACCUGGUAACUGCACCUUUGGCCUGAUACCUCCCAAUUCUGAAAGAACAUAUCGAUGCUCAGCAGGGACAGAGGGAAGAAUCAACUCCCCAUCAUGGAAAAUAAAAUGUUCAGCUGGGCAAUAAUGAAGCAAAUGAGUAAUGCCCAGAAGACACUACAGAGAAUGUCUACUGGGGACUACAAACAGCCAUCAGUAUGGUGGAUUUGCAGAAGAAACUGCCCUAAGCUGUGUGUUAAAGGUGGAUGGGAAACCGGAGGAGGGCAUGGAAGGACAGGCCAGCUUCAGAGGAAACCCUUGGAAAUGGAUCCGCCCUCUAGCGGUUAACAAGGGAGCUGAGGAAUAAUGGGAUUUGACAUCAUUGGAAAGCACAGCCACACCCAAAAACAGGUGUGUGCACAAGAAUUUCUGAACACAGAUUUUACCAGCUACACCCACACCCUCAAUUCUACUUGAAAUUAAUCUUAAAGAAAUUUUGAAUUUGCUGAUAAUUUGAGAUCAGUAAAGAUUUUCCCUG